GGGGAUAUAGCUCAGUUGGUAGAGUACUAGCCUAGCCUUCAUAAGGCCCUGGGUUCAAUCCCCAGCACCACCA
RNAcentral lists this transfer RNA (73 nucleotides) under Marmota marmota marmota (Alpine marmot). It matches the Rfam family "tRNA". Rfam says of the family: Transfer RNA (tRNA) molecules are approximately 80 nucleotides in length. Their secondary structure includes four short double-helical elements and three loops (D, anti-codon, and T loops). Further hydrogen bonds mediate the characteristic L-shaped molecular structure. tRNAs have two regions of fundamental functional importance: the anti-codon, which is responsible for specific mRNA codon recognition, and the 3' end, to which the tRNAs corresponding amino acid is attached (by aminoacyl-tRNA synthetases). tRNAs cope with the degeneracy of the genetic code in two manners: having more than one tRNA (with a specific anti-codon) for a particular amino acid; and 'wobble' base-pairing, i.e. permitting non-standard base-pairing at the 3rd anti-codon position. RNAcentral also lists the same sequence under 3 other names. Lineage: Eukaryota; Metazoa; Chordata; Mammalia; Rodentia; Sciuridae. The record is from Rfam by way of RNAcentral.